GUGGGGAAUCUUGCGCAAUGGGCGAAAGCCUGACGCAGCCAUGCCGCGUGAAUGAUGAAGGUCUUAGGAUUGUAAAAUUCUUUCACCGGGGACGAUAAUGACGGUACCCGGAGAAGAAGCCCCGGCUAACUUCGUGC
RNAcentral lists this ribosomal RNA (137 nucleotides) under uncultured bacterium. RNAcentral's name for it is "partial 16S ribosomal RNA". It matches the Rfam family "Bacterial small subunit ribosomal RNA", at positions 354 to 508 of the family's 1533-position model. The record is from RNAcentral.